UAUAUAACUGGCUCUUUGGGUUUGUCUACAGGAAAUUUUUCAGGUGAAAAAUUAAAUGGGCAAAAUUAUUUCUCUUGAUCCCAAUCAAUAAAGAUGUUCCUCGAAGGUCACCACCAGUUCGGCUUCUUAACUGGAGAGACUGUACCUCCUCCACCAGGAGAUGCCUUGGAACGACUCUAGAAAGGGGAUGACUCACUUAUUCGGUUUAUGCUGAUUAAUAGUAUGGAACCAUAGAUCGACAAGCCUUUACUAUAUGCAACCACAACAAAAGAUUUGUGGGAUACAACUCAGACUCUUUACUCGAAACGACAGAAUGCCUCUCGGUUGUAUACACUGCAAAAAUAGAUCCAUAAUUGCAAACAAGGGACCUUGGACGUGACUACCUAUUUUAACAAGCUCUUUCUCCUCUGGAAGAGAUGGAUUUGUGCAAAGAGAUAGUUUGGGACACACCAAAUGACAAUACACAAUAUGCUAAACUUGAAGAGGUUGACCGUGUUUAUGACUUCCUUACAAGACUUAAUCCCAAAUUUGAUACUAUUUGUGAUCGUAUACUCGGACAAAGGCCUCUUCCCUCCCUAAUAGAAGUUUGUUUUGAAGUCUGCCUGGAAGAGGAUCGCACUAAUGCCAUGGGUGUACUGACUACCCCUACCAUUAACUCUGCUGCCUUUAACGCUCGAUCCUCAAAUCAUGAUAGUGACAAGAAUAAUGGAAAGUCAAUCCCUGUGUGUGAACACUGCAAGAAACAAUGGCACACCAAGGAUCAGUGUUGGAAACUCCACGAUCGUCCCCCAGGAGGUAAUAGGAGGUAAGAAACGGUCCUCCAACAAGAAACAGAACUCAGGAUGUGCCUACAUUAGUGAGACUACCCUUGCCAGCACUUCUCAAUCAAUUGGUCCUACUGCGAGCCAAACCAAGACUCCGUCUCCGGGUGCCAUUGCUCAGUCAUGACAUGAGCUCGGGAAGGACGAUUGGCACUGCCCGGCACAACAGGAAACUUUACAUCCUUGAUGAUGAUACCUCCUGUAGUAGUUUGUCUAGGCUCCGAUCAUGUUCUUCAAACACAUUUUCAAGGUUGGCUGAUGGCUAUAAUGAGUUCCCAUUCUGUAAUGCUCUAUGAGAGAAGUGUGAUCAUGACACUCUUGAGUGGAUUUGCUGGAGUGCACACUGAGGCUAUAAUCAAGUAACGGCCUUCAAGGAAUGUAAAUGUACAAAAACUUCCGGUUAUAUGUGUUUGACAUGGCGUUCAAUGUUAUUGCCAUAAUGAUUCAAGAUUUUGAUGCAAUAGCGAACAAUGACAUUGCUGUAUCCAUGGUGUUGAAGUAUACGGAUAAUAUUGUGAAGGUAUUGCUUAUUACAACUACAAGGCCUUAAUUCAUUUGAUGAAUUUAUUUGUACCUUUAAGGUCUUACUACUUAAAGUUAUUAUAUUGCAGUCCUACUACAAUCAUCAUCAAAUGUGUAUAUGUUAUGUUGUGUAUGUCCUGUGUUGUUGAAGUGUGUUGUGUAUAUGUUGUGUUAUUGAAGUGUGUUGUUGAAGUGAAUGUGUUGUGUUGUUGAUACAUAGAGUAAUAGUCUAAAAUUUCUUUUAAUUUUCUUACUA
Molecule: long non-coding RNA, 1599 nt
Organism: Cucumis melo (muskmelon)
Lineage: Eukaryota; Viridiplantae; Streptophyta; Magnoliopsida; Cucurbitales; Cucurbitaceae
Exons: 6
Source: RefSeq, a predicted model, not a curated record